Molecule: ribosomal RNA, 504 nt
Filed under: uncultured bacterium
Lineage: Bacteria
Description: partial 16S ribosomal RNA
Rfam family: Bacterial small subunit ribosomal RNA
Source: RNAcentral
GAUGAACGCUAGCGGCAGGAUUAACACAUGCAAGUCGAGGGGCAGCAUAAAUAGUAGCAAUACUAUUGGUCGCGACCGGCGGCCGGGUGCGUCACGCGUAUACAACCUUAUCUCCACAGGGGGAUCAACUGGAGCAAUUCGGUCUAAUACUCCAUAACAUCCGCGCAGGCAUCUGGCUGGGUCAAACUUUCCGGUGGUUCUGGAUGGGUAUGCGUAGACUUAGCUAGUGGGUGAGGCAACGGCGCACCAAGGCGACGAUGCUUAGGGGGACUGAGAGGUUAACCCCCCACACUGGUACUGAGACACGGACCAGACUCCUGCGGGAGGCAGCAGUGAGGAAUAUUGGUCAAUGGGCGGAAGCCUGAACCAGCCAUGCCGCGUGCAGGAUGACGGCUCUAUGAGUUGUAAACUGCUUUUGUACGAGGGUAAAGUGGGCUACGUGUAGCCUUUUGAAAGUAUCGUACGAAUAAGGAUCGGCUAACUCCGUGCCAGCCGCCGCAGUAA